CCGGUUGGACCUGCUUGACAUUGCCCUAGGCAAUGUAGGAGGACGGGCGCUCAUGCCCUCAUCCUCAGGUGGCACUCCAGUCAAUCUCGCUGAUCGACGAGUUCCCCUCAUCCUGUUUUCUGAAAAACAGUACACAUAGCACAAACAUUAGCAUCAUAUGGUUCAUGUGGGCACACAUGAACCCGCAUCACAUACACCAC
RNAcentral lists this long non-coding RNA (200 nucleotides) under Manihot esculenta (cassava). Its description in RNAcentral is "long non-coding RNA (MESC_LNC012634)". The record is from RNAcentral. Lineage: Eukaryota; Viridiplantae; Streptophyta; Magnoliopsida; Malpighiales; Euphorbiaceae.